This 508-nucleotide ribosomal RNA is filed under the name uncultured bacterium. RNAcentral describes it as "partial 16S ribosomal RNA". It matches the Rfam family "Bacterial small subunit ribosomal RNA", at positions 28 to 507 of the family's 1533-position model. The record is from RNAcentral.
GACGAACGCUGGCGGCGUGCCUAAUACAUGCAAGUCGAACGCUUCUUUCCUCCCGAGUGCUUGCACUCAAUUGGAAAGAGGAGUGGCGGACGGGUGAGUAACACGUGGGUAACCUACCCAUCAGAGGGGGAUAACACUUGGAAACAGGUGCUAAUACCGCAUAACAGUUUAUGCCGCAUGGCAUAAGAGUGAAAGGCGCUUUCGGGUGUCGCUGAUGGAUGGACCCGCGGUGCAUUAGCUAGUUGGUGAGGUAACGGCUCACCAAGGCCGCGAUGCAUAGCCGACCUGAGAGGGUGAUCGGCCACACUGGGACUGAGACACGGCCCAGACUCCUACGGGAGGCAGCAGUAGGGAAUCUUCGGCAAUGGACGAAAGUCUGACCGAGCAACGCCGCGUGAGUGAAGAAGGUUUUCGGAUCGUAAAACUCUGUUGUUAGAGAAGAACAAGGACGUUAGUAACUGAACGUCCCCUGACGGUAUCUAACCAGAAAGACACGGCUAACUACGUG